RNAcentral lists this transfer RNA (105 nucleotides) under Neurospora pannonica FGSC 7221. RNAcentral describes it as "tRNA-Und (NNN) (tRNA-Und-NNN-5-1)". Lineage: Eukaryota; Fungi; Ascomycota; Sordariomycetes; Sordariales; Sordariaceae. The record is from RNAcentral.
GGUCCGUUGGUGUAAUGGUCAACACUACCUAACCUGGCGUAUCGUCGUGCUGGACGCGGCCUUACGUCAGCGUGGAAGUUACCGGUUCGACUCCGGUACGGGCCA